UACGUAGGGGGCAAGCGUUGUCCGGAUUUAUUGGGCGUAAAGAGCGUGUAGGCGGCCAAGCAGGUCCGCUGUGAAAGCCCUUGGCUCAACUGAGGAAGUGCAUCCGAAACUGGCAGGCUAGAGUACUAAAGAGGAUCGCGGAAUUCCCGGUGUAGAGGUGAAAUUCGUAGAUAUCGGGAGGAACACCGGUGGCGAAGGCGGCGAUCUGGGUAGAUACUGACGCUGAGGUGCGAAAGCGUGGGGAGCAAACAGG
RNAcentral lists this ribosomal RNA (253 nucleotides) under uncultured bacterium. Its description in RNAcentral is "partial 16S ribosomal RNA". It matches the Rfam family "Bacterial small subunit ribosomal RNA", at positions 524 to 776 of the family's 1533-position model. The record is from RNAcentral.